GACGAACGCUGGCGGCGUGCUUAACACAUGCAAGUCGAACGGAAAGGCCCUGCUUUUGUGGGGUGCUCGAGUGGCGCACGGGUGAGUAACACGUGAGUAACCUGCCCUUGACUUUGGGAUAACUUCAGGAAACUGGGGCUCAUACCGGAUAGGAGCUCCUGCUGCAUGGUGGGGGUUGGAAAGUUUCGGCGGUUGGGGCUGGACUCGCGGCUUAUCAGCUUGUUGGUGGGGUAGUGGCGUACCAAGGCUUUGACGGGUAGCCGGCCUGAGAGGGUGACCGGCCACAUUGGGACUGAGAUACAGCGCAGACUCCUACGGGAGGCAGUAGGGGGGAAUAUUGCACAAUGGGCGGGAGCCUGAUGCAGCAACGCCGCGUGCGGGAUGACGGCCUUCGGGUUGUAAACCGCUUUCGCCUGUGACGAAGCGUGAGUGACGGUAAUGGGUAAAGAAGCACCGGCUAACUACGUG
This 468-nucleotide ribosomal RNA is filed under the name uncultured bacterium. RNAcentral's name for it is "partial 16S ribosomal RNA". It matches the Rfam family "Bacterial small subunit ribosomal RNA", at positions 28 to 507 of the family's 1533-position model. The record is from RNAcentral.